Long non-coding RNA from Betta splendens (Siamese fighting fish), 1489 nucleotides. RefSeq lists it as uncharacterized. The transcript is spliced from 2 exons. The record is from RefSeq and is a predicted model, not a curated record. NCBI's taxonomy places the organism in Eukaryota, Metazoa, Chordata, Actinopteri, Anabantiformes, Osphronemidae.
CUCCAACGCCCAACAACCGAGCCAGACCUUCACGGAUACAGUCCAGCAGCCCAGAAGACGAUUCAUCCCGCACAAUGUCACUCUGAGGAGAGAAGAAGGGCAUGAUGGGGGCAUUGAGUCAAAGUUCUGAACUUUUUGAAUCAUCCUGACCUACAAACAUACCGCCCGGUGGAACGCUGGGCUGCGGAGCGUCCCAUCCAGCUCCGGAGCCUCCGGGUUCCCCCAGCGGCCGGUCGUACUGCGGCGUGCGGUCUCCAGGGUGCAGGUUGCGGCUGCCGGGAAUGUCUGGGGGCGUGGUGACCCAGUGGUGGUGCUGAAGCUCCGCGGGGGCUCCGGCACUCCUGACAGGAUAGCUGGGUCCGUACAGCGGGUUGUCACGGCCGCGGUAUCCGAGCCCGUCGAAGCUGUCCGGCCGCCUGGAAGCCAUCACUGUCGGUACAGGGACAAACAGCGAUAGGACGGUGACUGACACCGGCUAAACCUCUAACAGACCUAUGGAGAUCUCAACGGGGCCACCGCCAGAUCUCGAUUGAACAAAGGGAUGAGUAGCUGAAAAGGUUCGUCCUGAUAGAUUUGACCCACAAUAACACAAGAUCCAAGAGCCUGUCACCUGCUACCCGGAAGUUCUUCUUUGUUUCCGCCAGACGCAUAGCGCCACCUGCAUCAUCUUUUACUUCACUGUGUUUAAAACCAAUUAGCUGAGAUUCACAAUUCAGGCUCAGAAAACAACUUGGUUUAGUAAAAAUCCAUUACGCUCUAUUUUCUACCAUAUGUAAUAACAUGAAAUGUUAAGUAAAAUGAGAAACCGAGCAAACAUGAACUAAUUAUUUUCAAAAACAGUCAGUUACCAUAAACUUUAUUGAUUCCAGCAUUUGUGACAAUAAAAACAUUUUCUGAUACGUUGACAUCUCGACUUGUCCUUCAAUUAUUCACACACUGUAAUGACAUCACUGUUUCAGACCAUGUAUAGAUGCCCUGGAAUGUGACUGAAAUUAUGUGAACACGCUUUGCUAAAGACACUGAUUUGAUUGAUUGAUGUGUGACGAUGCAUUUUACCACAUUUUGCAGUUUUUUAAUGUCAUUAUAAAAUCUGAGUGUUCCUUAAAUCCCAUCCAUCCAAUAAUUAACUCCUUAACUCUUGGCAUAAGAAAGGAAAAUAAAGUUCAUUUAAACAAAAAUUACAGUUCUCUCCUUUAAUUUUUGGUCAGUCCUAAUAAACAUAUAUUUAAAAACACAAAGGUUCUCUGGUUGAAUCCAGCAGAGUCUAACUGCUAGCAACAGAUUGUAGUGUCUCAUCGUGUGUUAAAACUAUAGCUGAUAGCAAUGGCCUCCAGUGUGGACUUUUCACUUCUCUGUAUUAAGGCAACAGGUUUAAGGCCAGCAGUGGCCAGAAAAACUGAAUUUACCAUUAAACUUAAACUGGAUGGUAACAAUCAAAACAACUCAGUUGUAUGACAACAAAACAGUUAAUGACAAAAAACAUGUUUCA